CAAACCUGGACCCCUAAAUAUACCUGCAACAUUUUGUUUCAUUCACUCUCUGUGCACGCUAGCAUAGUAGGUGGCGCUAAUGCACCUUUCAGUUGGUUGCCACCCGCCCUUUAAAAGACAAAAGAAGUCACUCAGGUUGCGCUCCGUUCCUACAAGACGUGAUCCACUUGCUGCUUCCCCAAACUUAAGUACAUGUUUGAUGAUGUGGUGUAUUUGAUGUUCUGACCUUGUCAGAGAUUUCACACUGACUCAACUUCUAUGCUCAAAUUAACACAUGAAUUUAUUACAUCGAAUGAAAUAGUACAAUUACAGAAUAAUUAUGAGAGAGGUGGUGGCUGAAUUCACCUGGAGGUUCGUCUGCAGAACAAACUGAGAGGUCGAAAAAGGUCAGCUGGAUGUCUGCAGCAGACCCUCUGCGAGGCACUCUAAGAAACAUCUCCAAAUGCCCACCUUUUUAAAGCUGUGUUGUUUAUGCAACCAGCAAGUGCCUACGUGUCCAUCGAAAGUCCAUGUUUACACAGCUGCAACAGCUUAUUUGUUUUAGUGGCCAACCUGACACCACGGUCAACUUGACCCUAGUUGCAAUGGACAGAAAUAACCCCAUAAGAGGAACAGAAUUUACUACAGAUACUUAUUUGAUGUAUGUACUCCAGAAGUUUCAUUGUUUAUAAUCUAGCUUCCCUCCUGUGUAAGGAAUGCUAAUUGCUAGAACAGUUGAUGCUAACAGCUACAGCGACAGAGAGAGACAGUGUUGCAAGGUGCCGCCACGCAAUUUGGAUGAGUCCAAGCCUCUCCAGCAUUUGUCCGGUUCGAAUCGUGUGAUAUAUGUUACUGAGGUCAUUCACUCACAUUUCACAUUUUAGCUGCUAGUUAGCGUUAGCGGCUAGCGCUAGCCUAAAGCGCUAGCCUCCACAUGACUUUGGUUUGGCUGCGAUAGUAAGUUGUGAGAGUCUGUGUUUAUAAUUACUACCGAGCCUGUCAAGUGUAUGUCAUAGCCCAAGUAAGCCUGUGAAUAUGGGUUAUGGCAAGUUCUAUCUAAGUCUAACAUGUAUGUUGUUGCUGUCUUCUCGUAUGUGUUGCAUGUCGUAUGUUUUUUUUAAUUUUUUUAUACAUGCUGACGCAUGCCAGCUACGGAAACGCAAGGAGGUUGCUUCUCAAACUGACUCCACUGCAGGCUGUGGGCACACAUCUGCCUUGUAGAAGAGUUGUUGCUCACCUCAGAAGCAAAGAUUAUGUGGAAAAUGUGAUGAAGACCAUCUUCAAUAAAUUCCUGCUGGACCCAGGUCAUUAUAUGGAGGACCUUGUAAACAUCCCUGUCCCACCAGCCCUCUGAGCAGAAUUUGAGCAACCUGACAGUGUCAGGUUCUGGCUCUGUGUUUCAGUUUUAUUUUAAAAGGACUUCGGUCAUCAGCUAUAUAAUCAUGUUUUGGGUUUCCAGUUUCCACUUCCUGUUUUAUUUUGGUAGUCUCCCGGUUUCUGUUUCAGUUCGAGCUUCACUUCCGGUUUAUGUCACGUCACAGCUGUUCUUGCUUCACCCGGUCAUUACACACACCUGUUUUAAAUCAGUAAUCACUUCUUGUAUUUAACCACCACCUGUGUCCUUAGUUCUCUGCCAGAUCGUUGUUUGUGUGUUCCCGUCAUAGUCCGGUUUAUUGAUCCUGUCCUGCCGUGUUUCGUGUACCCUGUUUUGACUGCUGAUUCUGAGCCUGCCUAGUCCCUGUCUGUCUUGUCUGCCCUGGUCUUCUGUUCUGCCUGUUGCCGACCUUGCCUGCCUAACCACGAUCUGACGCUCGACGAUUCUGGUGGUCUAAGUCCAACAUAGGUGCCUUGCCCCACAGGAAACCCUGCCCUGUUCCAGACCAGGAAAGGUGGGAUGACUUGGACUCUUCGCCCUAGAAGUCCCCAGCACCAGCUGACAAUACUUCUAGGCUAGAUAACUGCAAAGACUUACACACAGACAUAGUACUGUCAAAUUUAUGAAGAAAAAAACAAUAACUACAUUUCUAUUAGUUUUAUAUUUUAGCACUUGAUAUAUCAUACAACUUACUAAAAGCAAUUAAAAAUAUAUUAGGUCAAUAUGUAUUUAGAACCAAAACUAUGUUUGUAAACCAGAGUUCACAGGUACAUUAUGAUUAAUCUGUAACUAGUAAAAUGUUCUAAAAUUGUUUAAUGUCGGAGAUACUGAUUUAUUCCAUGCAUGUGUAAAUGUCUGAUAUACUGUAUAUUAAUUAUAUUAAUGUUUUCUGUAAUAAAUACACAU
Long non-coding RNA from Betta splendens (Siamese fighting fish), 2260 nucleotides. RefSeq lists it as uncharacterized. The record is from RefSeq and is a predicted model, not a curated record. NCBI's taxonomy places the organism in Eukaryota, Metazoa, Chordata, Actinopteri, Anabantiformes, Osphronemidae. The transcript is spliced from 3 exons.